RNAcentral lists this non-coding RNA (29 nucleotides) under Mus musculus (house mouse). The record is from RNAcentral. Lineage: Eukaryota; Metazoa; Chordata; Mammalia; Rodentia; Muridae.
UGGGUGCGUUUCCAUUUUAAGUGCUCUGU